GGGCUGCGACUAUAGCUCAGUGGCAGAGCGCCUGCUUGGCAUGUGGGAGGGACUGGGUUCAAGUCUCAGCACCCCA
This 76-nucleotide transfer RNA is filed under the name Marmota monax (woodchuck). RNAcentral's name for it is "tRNA.Ala". The stretch from base 13 to 69 matches the Rfam family "tRNA", at positions 8 to 63 of the family's 71-position model. From Rfam's summary of the family: Transfer RNA (tRNA) molecules are approximately 80 nucleotides in length. The record is from RNAcentral. Lineage: Eukaryota; Metazoa; Chordata; Mammalia; Rodentia; Sciuridae.